UACGGGGGGAGCAAGCGUUGUUCGGAUUUACUGGGCGUAAAGGGCGCGUAGGCGGCCACCGCAAGUCAGUUGUGAAAUCUCUGGGCUUAACCCAGAACGGUCAGCUGAUACUGCGGGGCUAGAGUGCAGAAGGGGCAACUGGAAUUCUCGGUGUAGCGGUGAAAUGCGUAGAUAUCGAGAGGAACACCUGCGGCGAAGGCGGGUAGCUGGGCUGACACUGACGCUGACAGCGCGAAAGCUAGGGGAGCGAACGGG
This 255-nucleotide ribosomal RNA is filed under the name uncultured bacterium. Its description in RNAcentral is "partial 16S ribosomal RNA". It matches the Rfam family "Bacterial small subunit ribosomal RNA", at positions 524 to 776 of the family's 1533-position model. The record is from RNAcentral.